GACGAACGCUGGCGGCAGGCCUAACACAUGCAAGUCGAGCGGCAGCGGGAAAGUAGCUUGCUACUUUUGCCGGCGAGCGGCGGACGGGUGAGUAAUGCCUGGGAAAUUGCCCAGUCGAGGGGGAUAACAGCGGGAAACGACUGCUAAUACCGCAUACGCCCUACGGGGGAAAGCAGGGGACCUUCGGGCCUUGCGCGAUUGGAUAUGCCCAGGUGGGAUUAGCUAGUUGGUGAGGUAAUGGCUCACCAAGGCGACGAGCCCUAGCUGGUCUGAGAGGAUGAUCAGCCACACUGGAACUGAGACACGGUCCAGACUCCUACGGGAGGCAGCAGUGGGGAAUAUUGCACAAUGGGGGAAACCCUGAUGCAGCCAUGCCGCGUGUGUGAAGAAGGCCUUCGGGUUGUAAAGCACUUUCAGCGAGGAGGAAAGGUUGAUGCCUAAUACGUAUCAACUGUGACGUUACUCGCAGAAGAAGCACCGGCUAACUCCGUGCCAGCAGCCGCGGUAA
This 508-nucleotide ribosomal RNA is filed under the name uncultured bacterium. RNAcentral describes it as "partial 16S ribosomal RNA". It matches the Rfam family "Bacterial small subunit ribosomal RNA", at positions 28 to 523 of the family's 1533-position model. The record is from RNAcentral.